GCCUUUGCGGUGCAGUGGUCAGGACACUCGACGCGUAACCGAGAGGUCCGUGGUUCGAGUCCCGGUGAAGGCG
Non-coding RNA from Stegodyphus mimosarum, 73 nucleotides. The record is from Rfam. Lineage: Eukaryota; Metazoa; Arthropoda; Arachnida; Araneae; Eresidae.